This 497-nucleotide ribosomal RNA is filed under the name uncultured bacterium. Its description in RNAcentral is "partial 16S ribosomal RNA". It matches the Rfam family "Bacterial small subunit ribosomal RNA", at positions 28 to 507 of the family's 1533-position model. The record is from RNAcentral.
GAUGAACGCUGGCGGCGUGCCUAAUACAUGCAAGUCGAGCGAACGGACGAUAAGCUUGCUUCUCUGACGUUAGCGGCGGACGGGUGAGUAACACGUGGAUAACCUACCUAUAAGACUGGGAUAACUACGGGAAACCGGAGCUAAUACCGGAGGAUAUUUUGCACCGCAGGGUGCAAAGGAGAAAGACGGUCUUGCUGUCACUUAUAGAUGGAUCCGCGCUGCAUUAGCUAGUUGGUACGGUAACGGCGUACCAAGGCAACGAUGCAUAGACGACCUGAGAGGGUGAUCGGCCACACUGGAACGGAGACACGGUCCAGACUCCUACGGGAGGCAGCAGUAGGGAAUCUUCCGCAAUGGGCGAAAGCCUGGCGGAGCAACGCCGCGUGAGUGAUGAAGGUCUUCGGAGCGUAAAACUCUGUUAUGAGGUAAGAACAGAUGUGUAAGUAGCUGUGCACAUCUUGACGGUACUUAAUCAGAAAGCAACGGCUAACUACGUG